UGCAUAAAAUAUUCACUUAUAUAAGUCCUGCAAUAUGGGGGGGAUGUUUCUACUGAGCUGCCGUAAAUUGCUCAUACUAUAAGUGUUUACUG
RNAcentral lists this non-coding RNA (92 nucleotides) under uncultured Clostridium sp. RNAcentral describes it as "Purine riboswitch". It matches the Rfam family "Purine riboswitch aptamer", at positions 8 to 95 of the family's 102-position model. Rfam says of the family: Riboswitches are metabolite binding domains within certain messenger RNAs that serve as precision sensors for their corresponding targets. Allosteric rearrangement of mRNA structure is mediated by ligand binding, and this results in modulation of gene expression. A class of riboswitches that selectively recognises guanine and becomes saturated at concentrations as low as 5 nM. The record is from RNAcentral. Lineage: Bacteria; Bacillati; Bacillota; Clostridia; Eubacteriales; Clostridiaceae.